CUUGACCUCGGAUCAGGUAGGGAUACCCGCUGAACUUAAGCAUAUCAAUAAGCAUAUCAAUAAGCGGAGGA
Molecule: ribosomal RNA, 71 nt
Filed under: Epicoccum nigrum
Lineage: Eukaryota; Fungi; Ascomycota; Dothideomycetes; Pleosporales; Didymellaceae
Description: partial 28S rRNA
Source: RNAcentral